Molecule: ribosomal RNA, 408 nt
Filed under: uncultured bacterium
Lineage: Bacteria
Description: partial 16S ribosomal RNA
Rfam family: Bacterial small subunit ribosomal RNA
Source: RNAcentral
AGUGAACGCUGGCGGCGUGCCUAAUACAUGCAAGUCGAACGGAGAGGCGCACGGGUGAGUAAUAUAUAGCUAAUCUGCCCCUUGCUGGACGACAACAGUUAGAAAUGACUGAUAAUACUCCAUAGCAAGGGCUGCGACUAGAUCGUAUCCGCUAGUCGGUGGAGUAACGGCCUACCGAGGCUAUGACGGGUAACUGGUCUGAGAGGAUGAUCAGUCACAGUGUAAGGUAGACACGGUCCGAACUCCGACGGGAGGAAGCAGGAGGGAAGCUGGCGCAAUGGGGGAAGCCCUGACGCAGCAACGCUGCGUGGGGGAUGACACUGGUCUGUGCUUAAACUCCUGUUGUGAGGGAAGCGGUACCUAACGAAUAAGCACCGGCUAACUCCGUGCCAGCAGCCGCGGUAAUAC